Molecule: ribosomal RNA, 536 nt
Filed under: Chryseobacterium soldanellicola
Lineage: Bacteria; Pseudomonadati; Bacteroidota; Flavobacteriia; Flavobacteriales; Weeksellaceae
Description: bacterial SSU rRNA
Rfam family: Bacterial small subunit ribosomal RNA
Source: RNAcentral
CAUGCAAGCCGAGCGGUAGAAGUCCUUCGGGACUUUGAGAGCGGCGCACGGGUGCGUAACACGUGUGCAACCUACCUUUAUCUGGGGGAUAGCCUUUCGAAAGGAAGAUUAAUACCCCAUAAUAUAUUGAAUGGCAUCAUUUAAUAUUGAAAACUCCGGUGGAUAGAGAUGGGCACGCGCAAGAUUAGAUAGUUGGUGAGGUAACGGCUCACCAAGUCAAUGAUCUUUAGGGGGCCUGAGAGGGUGAUCCCCCACACUGGUACUGAGACACGGACCAGACUCCUACGGGAGGCAGCAGUGAGGAAUAUUGGACAAUGGGUGAGAGCCUGAUCCAGCCAUCCCGCGUGAAGGACUAAGGCCCUAUGGGUUGUAAACUUCUUUUGUAUAGGGAUAAACCUUUCCACGUGUGGAAAGCUGAAGGUACUAUACGAAUAAGCACCGGCUAACUCCGUGCCAGCAGCCGCGGUAAUACGGAGGGUGCAAGCGUUAUCCGGAUUUAUUGGGUUUAAAGGGUCCGUAGGCGGACUCGUAAGUCA